Molecule: ribosomal RNA, 519 nt
Filed under: uncultured eukaryote
Lineage: Eukaryota
Description: SSU rRNA
Rfam family: Eukaryotic small subunit ribosomal RNA
Source: RNAcentral
AGUCAUAUGCUUGUCUCAAAGACUAAGCCAUGCAUGUCUAAGUAUAAAUGAUAUACAAUGAGACUGCGAAUGGCUCAUUAAAACAGUUAUAGUUUAUUUGGUAAUCGAAAUUACAUGGAUAACCGUGGUAUCUUCUAGAGCUAAUACAUGCAGGUUAGCCCGACUUCUCGGAAGGGCUGUAUUUAUUAGAUAACAGACCAAUAUUCCUCGUGUCUAUUGUGGUGACUCAUAGUAACUGAUCGGAUCGCAUGGCCUUGUGCCGCGACAAACCAUUCAAGUUUCUGACCCAUCAGCUUUCGAUGGUAGUGUAUUGGACUACCAUGGCUUUCACGGGUAACGGAGGAUUAGGGUUCGAUUCCGGAGAGGGAGCCUGAGAAACGGCUACCACAUCUAAGGAAGGCAGCAGGCGCGUAAAUUACCCAAUCCUGACUCAGGGAGGUAGUGACAAGAAAUAACGGGUCGGGGCAUUCGCCUCGGGAUUGCAAUGAAUCGAAUUUACACCCCUUAAUGAGGAUCAAU